This 809-nucleotide ribosomal RNA is filed under the name uncultured bacterium. RNAcentral's name for it is "bacterial SSU rRNA". It matches the Rfam family "Bacterial small subunit ribosomal RNA", at positions 10 to 812 of the family's 1533-position model. The record is from RNAcentral.
AGUUUGAUCCUGGCUCAGGAUGAACGCUGGCGGCGUGCUUAACACAUGCAAGUCGAACGGGCUCAUAUUGAAACCUAGUGAUUUAUGAGUUAGUGGCGGACGGGUGAGUAACGCGUGGAAAACCUGCCGUAUACUGGGGGAUAACACUUAGAAAUAGGUGCUAAUACCGCAUAAGCGCACAGCUUCGCAUGAAGUGGUGUGAAAAACUCCGGUGGUAUACGAUGGUUCCGCGUCUGAUUAGCUUGUUGGCGGGGUAAUGGCUCACCAAGGCGACGAUCAGUAGCCGGCCUGAGAGGGUGAACGGCCACAUUGGGACUGAGACACGGCCCAAACUCCUACGGGAGGCAGCAGUGGGGAAUAUUGCACAAUGGGGGAAACCCUGAUGCAGCGACGCCGCGUGAGUGAAGAAGUAUUUCGGUAUGUAAAGCUCUAUCAGCAGGGAAGAAAUAGCGACCUUUGGGUCGCCAGACGGUACCUGAUUAAGAAGCCCCGGCUAACUACGUGCCAGCAGCCGCGGUAAUACGUAGGGGGCAAGCGUUAUCCAGAUUUACUGGGUGUAAAGGGAGCGUAGACGGCAGCACAAGUCUGAAGUGAAAUGCCGGGGCUUAACCUCGGAACUGCUUUGGAAACUGUGCAGCUAGAGUGAAGGAGAGGUAAGUGGAAUUCCUAGUGUAGCGGUGAAAUGCGUAGAUAUUAGGAGGAACACCAGUGGCGAAGGCGGCUUACUGGACUGUAACUGACGUUGAGGCUCGAAAGCGUGGGGAGCAAACAGGAUUAGAUACCCUGGUAGUCCACGCUGUAAACGAUGA